UUAGGAGCUGUGGGCCAAAAGAAAGGGAGGGGGACAGUGAGGAGGAAAGAGGAGGAAAAGAAUAGACUAACAGGCAAAAGACAAUUCAUAGAAGCAGAAAUUCAAAUGCACAGCCUCACUUAUAAUGGGGGAAAUACAACUUGAGGAAAAGAUGUGUGAUCAACCAAGUGUUAACAAAAAGCAGAGAAAUGGGGCAGGUGUAAACUGCCUGAUAAUGUGAUAAAGCUGAACACGCUCAACUUGUGAUCACCAAUUAUACCCUCUAGCUGUGUGCCCUAGAAAACAUGCACCGGGAGAAGACCACAGUGGCCAGCAGAGAACCAAAUGGCAUGGAUGAACAGAAUGAACUAGUGAGGAAUUAGAAACAGUUCACAAUUAGAAAAAUGGUCUGUGAGAUGUGAAAUACUCAUACAGUGAAUUCUUCCACAGCCCUGGAAAAUGUUUGAACCAGUUUGCAGAAGUUCUCAAUCUGUGCAUGGAUUAUCGUAGACUAUAUGGGUGAAUCUGCCUAUCAGUAGUUUUUCAAGCUCCCCAAUUCCAAUUUCAAUUUCUAGCCAAGGUUGAGAAGUGCUGGCCUAGAGCUAUGCAUAUCAACAAGAAUGAAUAUAAAAAGUGUAAUGUAAAUAAUGUACAAAGUAUAAAACCACUUAAGUUUGAAAACACAUUGUGUUUAUAUGUAUUAUACAUAUAUACACACUUUUAUAUACAAUAGAGUUGGAAAGGCAUUUAUAGGAAUGCUAAAUACCAACUUCAGGUUAGAAAUUACCUUUAGACUGGAGGGGUUUAGAGCAAUAUCAGAGAGUAGUAUACAUAGAAGGAUAUAGAGAGAGCUUAGUGUAGCACGAAUUGUUAAUAGUAUACACAUGUGCUGACUCUGAGGAAACACUUCCCAAAAGAUUUCACCUCAAUGACGCUGGCCUCUUCUUAAUCACAGCUGGUUCUUCAGCCCAGCUGACCAGAGUCCAUUGUCCCAGCAAAGGAAAGGUUUUACUUUAGUGGUUCUGGUCUCUUGUCAAUCACAGCUGAUUCUUCAGCUCCAGCUCAUCGGACACCAUAGCUUCUUCCCACAAAUGGCCUGGCACUCUUUGCUUCCCUCUGAAGCUUCUCAAGCCAAGGCUUUCUCAUCUGCGUUGUUUUCAACACUCUUCUCUUCUAAGCUCCUACAGAACAGCCCACUGAGCUCUCAAUACUCAGUGGCUUUUCUAGCCCAAAGUUCCAAAGUCCUUUCACAGUUCUUCCCAAAACAACCUGGUCAGGUCUGUCACAGCAAUAGCUUACUAUACUGGUACCAGUUUCUGUCUUAGUCACUGUUCUAUUGCUUUGAAGAGACACCAUGACCAAGGCAACUAUUAUAAGAUAAUGCAUUUAAUUGGAGGCUUGCUUACAGUUUCAGAGGUUUAGUCCAUUAUCAUCAUGACAGAGUAUUACAGCAUUCAAGCAGACACUGGAGCAAUAGCUGAGAACUACAUAUACAUAAAGAACUAUCUUGUCUUUGUUCUUUUUUUAAAAAUCUAAAGUAAGGACCAGGGAUGUAGCUCAGUGGUAGAGCAUUUUCCUAUCAUGCACGAGGCACUUGGUGUGAUUCUCAGUACUGCAAAAUAAAUAGAUAAGUAAAAUAAAAACUAAUGAAUAAAAAUCUAAACAAAUAUAGAGGAAGGCAAUGAGUAUAUAUAUCCAAGUGGCCAUAUGUUGGGUAUUAUGUCUUUCUCCAUGAUUGUCUGUGAAUUCAAGACAACUCAUAGUAUUAAAAGGAAUACAUAACCCCAGGGGGGAAAGUUAAGAAUACCAAGGAAUAUAGAAUUUUCCCCACCUUCAAAGUCUUUUUCCCCAUCUCCUAAGAAAUAACUACUGUCCACCAGUUCCUUGUGCAUUCUUCUAAACAUUCUCCACACAGAUCAAGCAUAUGUAUGUAUUUUUGUAUUUCCUGUUUGAAGUGCCAUUUUUAAAAAAGGGAAAUGUGCUUAUCUUUCUUGAGCAAACCACAUGUACAGUCUGCGUCCAUGCUUCCUCUACCACCCUCUAGCCUGGGCCACAGCACGGCUGCCUCCUAGAGAGAAUAAUCUAUUCUGAGCCUGAAGAAAUAGUUUAUUCCGAUACUAACAAAAGCAUGGUAGAAGAUCUGAAGAGCAGGUACUGUGUCCUCGAGCCCAUCUCUUGUCCCACCCUCUAGUCUUUACCCAGCCUUUCAAAGUGCUCCUUAGACUUAGCAACAGAAGCAUGUAAGGGGAGAUUACACCAGCUAGUCCUACUGAACUACACUCUCUUGGUGUUAGCAUUGAUAAAUGGUCUCUCCACCAAGUAAAGAACCCCUUGAAAGGACAGUGUAAGUUAACUCCGGACAUCAUAGGCCAUGGUUGAAACAUUCAGUGUAGAUAGUUGGUAAGCCUAUGGUAAUAAUCCUUCUAGAAGGAUAGGAAGGUUAAUGGCCAUGACCCUGGUUGUGGUGAAAUAUCUCAGUUGGAUAGUACAAACUAUCCAAACCUCACUGUCAAUCCUGGAUAUCUCCCAAACAUAUACAUUCACUGCCUAAUGGAGAGCCUCAAUCAAGUCCCAAAUGGGCCAUAGACUAAAUAGUAGGCUUCACUUGUACUCCACGUGUGUCAGCAGCUUCUGAAUCUGACUUCCUGCAGGGGCUUACACUCACACAGCAGGCUGGAAUGUAACCCACUGUCAGUCAGUCAAAACAAUGAGACCAAAUUCAUUUUGUUACUUCCUUUUCUUGAUAGCAUACCAGCUUACUCCAUCCCCAGCCACCAUUACUACCCCCUUUUUGAGAUUAGAAAGAGAACUAUUAACAUUUACAUUAUAUAUAUAUAUAUAUAUAUAUAUAUAUAUAUAUAUAUAUAUAUGUAUGUAUUUACCUGCAUAUGUGUGUGGGUGUUUACCACAUGCAUGUCUGGUGCCCACAAAGGCCAAAAGAGGACUUCAGCUCCCCUGAAACUGCAGUUACAGAUGGUUGUGAGCCACCACACAGGAGUUAGGAAUUGAACCUGGGUCCUCUAGAAGAGCAGCCAGUGCUCUUAACUGUUGAGACUUCUCUCUCCAGCCCCCAUUUCCCUGUUCUUAACAAGGAAUAAAUGCAGUAGGGAAAGGGUUCCCAACUAAUUUGCAUUAGAAUUGCUUCUAGAACUACUUAGACUACAGGCUCUAGGGGCCCAGACUCCACUUGCAUCAUUAUCAGAAGGUGAAGCAUUCUGAUGUCAGCUCCCAUUGAGACCCACCCUCACUGUCAAUGCCUGCUUCCCUCCUAAAUCUCCCAAGUUUCUUUCUCAUUCCUGAAGUGACAUAGUGCUUGUGACAUUCACUAAGUGAGUCACAAUUUGUCAUGGAGUCUCUGCAUUCUCACUGUAGGCUGGAAAGGACACUGAAAUGUAAGAUGAUGGAAUGGCGACCUAAGCACCCAACACGCUGGAAUCGACAGUGCACUUCUGUUCUGCGGCAAAUCCUUCCUAAGCUGGAGUUUUACACGGGAAGUUUUGCUUCAUUUGAAGACAGUGAGUUAGAAAGGCUGCUACAGUUUUACAGGGUUUGUAUAUGAUUUAAUGUGCAAAUGACAUUUGGUUUUAACCUGUUGUUAAAAUAACAGCAAAUCUGAACUAUCUCUGAAAUGCCUCUUUUCUUGGUCACCAGACAGAUGAGUUGGAAAUCCUAAGAGUGAGAAUCUCUUGCUCCACCAUCCAGGGGGCUACAUGUCUCCUAGGAGAUCUCUCUGAUAGAAAGAGAGAUCUGUUAGGACCUGAGAACCUCAGCAGUCAGGGAGAGGUCUGCAGGUACCAUCCAUUCAGGAAUAAGGAGGAAGUUUUUUCUUAUUUUUCUUUGUUUUAAUAAAAUUUGGGAUUAAAGAGAUAAAUAAAAUAUAGUUAAAUAUAAGCCAAGGUUUAAAGCUUAGAGUUUCUAUGUAAAAAAUAUCAGACUAAUAAUGGAUAGUAGACAAUAAUUAAGUCAAGAUUGAGCCCUUCAGCCUGGAUUCUAUUUACAUAUAGACCAAAAAGUUGUGAUGUAAUCAACAUUACAUGCAUGGCAUUUUCUUAGAACCAACUGUAUGUUUUCUGACACAUAAAUGGUGAACUUUGAAAAGAGACGUCCACUCUGAAACUAGGAAAUUGGGAAAUGAUUUCUAAUAACCUAUUGGAUUGUGUCAUUGCUUCUGGGCAGGAGAAGUCCAGGAAAAUUCAGUUAUCUCUGUAUGCAAAUUACUGCCAACUUCAUGUCCAGCCUGGACCUUGACACCCAACCUCACCUUUCACCAUCAUCAGUGCAUUGAUGUCUCCCUGGGUAGUAAAAAGGCACCUCAAGUCCAGCAAGUCCAUAAACACAUGAGGUGGACAUCUGUCAGUCUUCUCUUUUCUUAGUCUAGCACCAGCAUUCCUUCGCAUACCCCACCUGUUCUCUAGUAACUGGUCCAUCGGGCUCUUAGAAACCCCAGUUUUCUAAGAGUGAGACUCUCCCCCUUCUACCACCCAGGAAGCUAGAUGUCUCCCAGGAGGACUCCCUAAGAGAAAGAUCUGCUAGGAGCUGAGUACCUCAGCAGUCAGAGAGGGGUCUGCAGGUACCAUCCAUUCAAGAAUAAGAAGGAAGCUGUUCUUAUUUUUCUUUGUUUUUAAUAGAAGUUGGGAUUAAAGAGAUACACAAAUAGUUAAUUAGUUAAAUACACGCCAAGGUUUAAAGCUUGGAGUUUCUAUGUAAAAAUAUCAGACUAAUAAUGCAUAGUAGACAAUAAUUGGGUCAAGGUUGAGCCCUGCAGCCUGUAGUCAGCUCCUAUUUUGACCAUUCACUGGUUUCAGCCUAGGUGAAGUCAUCUAACCCAUCUAUACCUUUUGUCCCAUUGGAUAACGGGGGUAAAAUAGUUGUCUGUUUUGUGAUUGUGGUGAGGAUUAAGUGAGUUUUAUACUUAGUACUGCACUCAACAUCUCGUGCUUAGUAAAUGCUAAACAUUGUUUCUGUUCUGUGCCAGGACCUAGGCUAAACAUUGGAAUUAUGGCAGUAAACAAUAGAGACACAAUUGAGUGCAUUCACAGAGGUCACGGACCAGAGGCAGAUCAGAAAACACUAAUGAUGAAAUCUUGUUAGGUGAGCUAGAGAGAGGACAGUGCACACAGAAAAAACAUGUUAGCAGAUUUAAGGAUGAGAAAAAUCUUCCCAAGGGAAGCAAUAGAAGGCUGUAUAAAGGGUUCAUGAUUGUCAUCUGUGUACUAUUAUGUAACAUUUCUUAGACCCACAUUCCUUCAGUACUAUCACACAGUACUGACUUAAUAUAAACAUAAUUAUUGCUGAAUAAACACCUCAAAAAUUCUAUUUACAGUCCUCCUAUGUAGGACCCCCAACAUUUCCUUUUUGGCAGUUUGCUAUCUAGAGGGUCUGUAGUCAGAAGUUUUCCUGUGUCCUGCCUAGUCUCACAGCUGCUUAGUCCCAAGUAAACACACAGAGGCUUAUAUUAAUUACAAACUGUAUGGCCUAUGGCUCAGGCUUCUUACUAGCUAGCUCCUUCAUCUUAAAUUAAUCCAUUUCUACUAAUCGAUAUGUUGACACAUGGCCGUGUUACCGGUCUGCUGACAUCUUGUUCCUUGGGCAGCUGGCUGGCAUCUCUCCUGACUUCACUCUUCUUCAUCUCCAUCUUUCGUUUGAAUGUCCCGCCUAACCUUACAUUGGCCAAACAGCUUUAUUUAUCAACCAAUGAGAGCAACACAUAUUCACAGCGUAUAGGAAAGCAUCCCAUAGCAAGGGUCCAAGUUUGUUAUCUAUCAACUGUACAGAUUUUUGCGUCAAACAGCCCUGGUUGUUCUCUAGCCAGUCUGUAGAGUGGGGUUGAUAACAGAACUUACCUCAUAUGGUUUUCUGUGGCUUAUGUAACACUAUCUGGAAUAUCACAGUCCCUCACAAACGCCAGUUGUUGUUAAUACUGCCACAUCACGAAGGCUUCUGUGAUCUUUCUGCAUAUGGUAAUUCCAAACUUCUUCUAGACUGUAAUGUGACAUUGUGUUGUUCUAACCUUAUCCAGGUCACAGGAUUUCCCAUCCAGAUGCCCUACACAGAUGUCCAAUCAGUCAUUGAUGCCGUGUACCAGACUGGAAUUCACUCUUCUGAAUUUCCGCAGAUGGAAUUUGCUUUAG
Peromyscus californicus insignis is the source of this 6110-nucleotide RNA transcript. It is a transcript of the gene named coiled-coil and C2 domain containing 2B, with no coding region annotated. Lineage: Eukaryota; Metazoa; Chordata; Mammalia; Rodentia; Cricetidae. The record is from RefSeq and is a predicted model, not a curated record. The transcript has 2 exons.